AUGGCAGUCGUUGUAGCAGUGCUCCUGCUACGACGUAGUGUUGCCUGUGAGACUCCAUGGCUGGCUGUGGUCCGUGCGGGGCAGCGCCGCUGCGGGCUUCCUCCGGCCUCCGUCGCCGUCGGCAGUCACCGCUUCAGUCCGCCAGCCGAGAGGCUAGAAGGGGAAGCCACCCAAUGUCCAAUCCAUCCAGUACUGCAUCCAUCUACAAAUUACCAAGGUUUUUCAGGUUCAGAUCCUGACAAAAGCUCUGCACUUGCCACGGCUGCUACUCAAGUUUGUAGUGCCAUCCACCUCCUCAUAAAGCAGGUGCCGCAUGAUCUAAUAAAGCAUUGGUUGAUUGGAUACAACCUUAAAUAUUACACACAUAUAUAA
Molecule: ribosomal RNA, 372 nt
Filed under: Triticum aestivum (bread wheat)
Lineage: Eukaryota; Viridiplantae; Streptophyta; Magnoliopsida; Poales; Poaceae
Description: partial small subunit ribosomal RNA
Source: RNAcentral